UACAGCGAUGCCAUUUUCCCAGUUGGACAGACCCAACCCCUGGAGUCAUCCUUUAACUUUUUAUUGAGAGGUGGCAGCAUCAUUGCUGGGUAUGAAGUUUUUGGCUCCAGCAGUCCAUCUGAGCUGCUGUCAGCCAUUGAACAGGUGGCUGAGAAGGCCGAGGAAGGCCUUCAGAAGCUGUUUCCACUGGAAGAUGACUCCUUCAGAGUAUUUGGAAAAGUUCAGUGUAAUAGCAUUGCCUUUGGAUUUGGGUUUAAGAAUGAUGAGUAUACUCUUCCUUGUAGCAGUGGCUACACCGGGAACAUCACAGCCAAGUGCCAGCCCUCUGGGUGGCAGGUCAUCAGGGAGACAUGUGUGCUUUCUCAGCUGGAAGAACUG
Molecule: long non-coding RNA, 378 nt
Organism: Myotis brandtii (Brandt's bat)
Lineage: Eukaryota; Metazoa; Chordata; Mammalia; Chiroptera; Vespertilionidae
Exons: 3
Source: RefSeq, a predicted model, not a curated record